GGAGUGAACGCUGGCGGCGUGCUAACACAUGCAAGUCGACGAGUCAUCAUUUUUGAAGCAAUUAGCUUGCUAAGAGUGGAAAUGUUGAUGACUUAGUGGCGGACGGGUGAGUAACGCGUGGGUAACCUGCCAUAUACAGGGGGAUAACACUUAGAAAUAGGUGCUAAUACCGCAUAAGCGCACAGUAUUGCAUGAGACAGUGUGAAAAACUACGGUGGUAUAUGAUGGACCCGCGUCUGAUUAGCUGGUUGGUGAGGUAACGGCCCACCAAGGCGACGAUCAGUAGCCGGCCUGAGAGGGUGGACGGCCACAUUGGGACUGAGACACGGCCCAAAUUCCUACGGGAGGCAGCAGUGGGGAAUAUUGGACAAUGGGGGAAACCCUGAUCCAGCGACGCCGCGUGAGUGAAGAAGUAUUUCGGUAUGUAAAGCUCUAUCAGCAGGGAAGAAAAAAAUGACGGUACCUGACUAAGAAGCCCCGGCUAACUACGUG
Molecule: ribosomal RNA, 492 nt
Filed under: uncultured Lachnospiraceae bacterium
Lineage: Bacteria; Bacillati; Bacillota; Clostridia; Lachnospirales; Lachnospiraceae
Description: bacterial SSU rRNA
Rfam family: Bacterial small subunit ribosomal RNA
Source: RNAcentral